ACUCGACUGCAUGAAGUCGGAAUCGCUAGUAAUCGCGGAUCAGCAUGCCGCGGUGAAUACGUUCCCGGGCCUUGUACACACCGCCCGUCACACCAUGGGAGUAGAUUGUACCAGAAGCGGCUAGCCUAACCUUCGGGAGGGCGGUUACCACGGUAUGGUUUAUGACUGGGGUGAAGUCGUAACAAGGUAGCCGUAGGGGAACCUGCGGCUGGAUCACCUCCUUUAAAGAAAAGGGUCUAGACCCCACACACGCCACUCGGUAAGGAAUUGGGCCUAUAGCUCAGCUGGGCUAGAGCACACGACUGAUAAUCGUGAGGUCAGUGGUUCGAGUCCACUUGGGCCCACCAAAUGGGGCUGUAGCUCAGUUGGGAGAGCACCUGCUUUGCAAGCAGGGGGUCACCGGUU
RNAcentral lists this ribosomal RNA (405 nucleotides) under uncultured bacterium. RNAcentral's name for it is "partial 16S ribosomal RNA". The stretch from base 1 to 224 matches the Rfam family "Bacterial small subunit ribosomal RNA", at positions 1310 to 1533 of the family's 1533-position model. The record is from RNAcentral.